UAGAGUUUGAUCAUGGCUCAGAUUGAACGCUGGCGGCAGGCCUAACACAUGCAAGUCGAGCGGUAGAGAGAAGCUUGCUUCUCUUGAGAGCGGCGGACGGGUGAGUAAUGCCUAGGAAUCUGCCUGGUAGUGGGGGAUAACGUUCGGAAACGGACGCUAAUACCGCAUACGUCCUACGGGAGAAAGCAGGGGACCUUCGGGCCUUGCGCUAUCAGAUGAGCCUAGGUCGGAUUAGCUAGUUGGUGAGGUAAUGGCUCACCAAGGCGACGAUCCGUAACUGGUCUGAGAGGAUGAUCAGUCACACUGGAACUGAGACACGGUCCAGACUCCUACGGGAGGCAGCAGUGGGGAAUAUUGGACAAUGGGCGAAAGCCUGAUCCAGCCAUGCCGCGUGUGUGAAGAAGGUCUUCGGAUUGUAAACGCACUUUAAGUUGGGAGGAAGGGCAGUUACCUAAUACCGUGAUUGUUUGAACGUACC
RNAcentral lists this ribosomal RNA (478 nucleotides) under Pseudomonas sp. 01WB03.4-70. RNAcentral's name for it is "bacterial SSU rRNA". It matches the Rfam family "Bacterial small subunit ribosomal RNA", at positions 1 to 479 of the family's 1533-position model. The record is from RNAcentral. Lineage: Bacteria; Pseudomonadati; Pseudomonadota; Gammaproteobacteria; Pseudomonadales; Pseudomonadaceae.